This 324-nucleotide ribosomal RNA is filed under the name uncultured eukaryote. Its description in RNAcentral is "partial 18S ribosomal RNA". It matches the Rfam family "Eukaryotic small subunit ribosomal RNA", at positions 1470 to 1796 of the family's 1831-position model. The record is from RNAcentral.
CCCUUAGAUGUUCUGGGCUGCACGCGCGCUACACUGAAGCUAUCAACACGUUUUCCCUCCCUGAGAAGGGCGGGUAACCUUUUGAAUCAGCUUCGUGGUAGGGAUCGGGGCUUGCAAUUGUUCCCCGUGAACCAGGAAUUCCUAGUAGACGCGAGUCAUAAGCUCGCAUCGAUUAAGUCCCUGCCCUUUGUACACACCGCCCGUCGCUACUACCGAUUGAACGUUUUAGUGAGGCAUUUGGACCGACGCAUCUCAGUUUAACCGCUGGUUUGUGUUGGAAAGACUUCCAAACUUGAGCGUUUAGAGGAAGUAAAAGUCGUUACA